UGAGCCCAAUUGAUUCUAUUAUAAAAUGUCAUUAGCUAUCAUUUAGUUAUUAUAUUGGUGUUGAAGUUGAUUAUUUUUAUUAUUAGAAUAUGAAUUCCUAUCCACAGCCUCUUAUGUAAAAAACAGGGUAAGACUGCGUACAAUACACCAAUAAUGGUGGGAUCCCUUCCCGGACCCCGCAUAUGCGGGAGCUUUAGUGCACCGGGUUGUCCUUUAUGAAUACCUAUCAACAAUUAUCAACAAAGACAAUGUUUAGUGUGACAACUUAACAAGUUAAAAAGUAAGAUUCAAUGUGUUUAGUUUGAAUCUAGUUUGAAAAUUGGGAUGGAUAAUAAUACUAAUUGUGAUUUACUCAAGAUUUAUAUAUUUAAUGGAAAUUAAUAAUGCCAAAUUGUACAAGAAAACAAAAACAACGUACAAUUUAUAAUGCAUAAAAGUGU
This 440-nucleotide long non-coding RNA is filed under the name Medicago truncatula (barrel medic). RNAcentral describes it as "long non-coding RNA (MTRU_LNC006127)". The record is from RNAcentral. Lineage: Eukaryota; Viridiplantae; Streptophyta; Magnoliopsida; Fabales; Fabaceae.